RNAcentral lists this ribosomal RNA (896 nucleotides) under uncultured bacterium. RNAcentral describes it as "bacterial SSU rRNA". It matches the Rfam family "Bacterial small subunit ribosomal RNA", at positions 611 to 1505 of the family's 1533-position model. The record is from RNAcentral.
AACCCGCGGACGGCACAUGAUACUGCGAGACUAGAGUAAUGGAGGGGGAACCGGAAUUCUCGGUGUAGCAGUGAAAUGCGUAGAUAUCGAGAGGAACACUCGUGGCGAAGGCGGGUUCCUGGACAUUAACUGACGCUGAGGCACGAAGGCCAGGGGAGCGAAAGGGAUUAGAUACCCCUGUAGUCCUGGCAGUAAACGGUGCACGCUUGGUGUGCGGGGAAUCGACCCCCUGCGUGCCGGAGCUAACGCGUUAAGCGUGCCGCCUGGGGAGUACGGUCGCAAGAUUAAAACUCAAAGAAAUUGACGGGGACCCGCACAAGCGGUGGAGUAUGUGGCUUAAUUCGAUGCAACGCGAAGAACCUUACCUGGGCUUGACAUGUAAUGAACAACAUGUGAAAGCAUGCGACUCUUCGGAGGCGUUACACAGGUGCUGCAUGGCCGUCGUCAGCUCGUGUCGUGAGAUGUUUGGUUAAGUCCAGCAACGAGCGCAACCCCUGUUGCCAGUUACCAGCACGUGAAGGUGGGGACUCUGGCGAGACUGCCCAGAUCAACUGGGAGGAAGGUGGGGACGACGUCAGGUCAGUAUGGCCCUUAUGCCCAGGGCUGCACACGUACUACAAUGCCCAGUACAGAGGGGGCCGAAGCCGCGAGGCGGAGGAAAUCCUGAAAACUGGGCCCAGUUCGGACUGUAGGCUGCAACCCGCCUACACGAAGCCGGAAUCGCUAGUAAUGGCGCAUCAGCUACGGCGCCGUGAAUACGUUCCCGGGUCUUGUACACACCGCCCGUCACAUCAUGGAAGCCGGUCGCACCCGAAGUAUCUGAAGCCAACCGCAAGGAGGCAGGGUCCUAAGGUGAGACUGGUAACUGGGAUGAAGUCGUAACAAGGUAACCGUAA